AUGUGUGGAUUAUUCAGAACUCAAGAGGUGGAUGUCGAUCCACAAAUGCAACGAGUCAAGUUUUUCGUGUUCACUCCUCGCGAGAUUCAACUCAACUCUCUUAAACAACACAUCACCAUGUUCUUCCUCGGCAAGAAAACCAGUAGCGAGAAAUCAUCAACGCCCAAUCAAGCGAUUCAACAACGGAAAAAGGAAGCAGAAGAAGACGUAGAAGGAAGAAUAAAAAGAGAAAUAAGAAAGAAUAUUCGAGGUAGAAGUAAGAAGUACAGGAAGAAAGAUGUUGUGCAAUAG
This is a non-coding RNA of Vicia faba (fava bean), 291 nucleotides long. Lineage: Eukaryota; Viridiplantae; Streptophyta; Magnoliopsida; Fabales; Fabaceae. The record is from the annotation of a GenBank genome assembly.